This is a long non-coding RNA of Thamnophis elegans (Western terrestrial garter snake), 2466 nucleotides long. RefSeq lists it as uncharacterized. The transcript has 4 exons. The record is from RefSeq and is a predicted model, not a curated record. NCBI's taxonomy places the organism in Eukaryota, Metazoa, Chordata, Lepidosauria, Squamata, Natricidae.
CACUGUUUCCAGGGUGGCCCUAAGCACCCUGCGGGCCAGAUCCAGCCCCUGAGCCUUCAGUUUGACACCCCCAGCCUAGAUUCUACAACAUGACCUUACGGAGCAGCAGCAAGAGAAAUCUGUCACUAGCAUUCACUAGUAAAGUCCUUUUAUUUCAGAGAUCCUCAAAUUCUGCAGUAUACCAGAACUGAAUUUAUGUGGGGCGUUUACUGUAAGCGUUGAAUGCCCAACUCAUGCAUCCUUUCGGACCUUGCCCUAGUCUACUCUAAGAGAAGGCAGCUACUGGCUUGUCCAGAAAAAGCGAGUCCAAGUACUUCCAGCAAUCCAGCUUUGGUGUCUGCAGAGUCCAGGGGUGGGCAUGGUCAUGGUGGGCAUGGCCUACUUGGCCUCCUGCACCACGGUGGGGGGUGGGCUUUGGAGGGCGGAAAUGGGCCCAUUUCUGGCCUUCCAGAACCUCUGGGAGGCUCAUUUUUCGCCCUACCUGAGCCUCUGUGUGGACCCUGUACUUACUUGGCAUGCGUGGGGACUCCUGGGAGGGGUGGGGUGAGGUUGGACAGGGUGGGAGGGGGCACCCAGGGGUGGGAUUUGUGAGUUCUCCAAACUGGGUAGAUUCUUAGCUAGAGGUUCUCCCGAACCUGUGCGAGCCUGGAGCAGCCCACCCUUGGGGCCCUACCCCAUCUAGGCAUAACUGCAAAGCAUCUAGAUACACAAAGGUUUCUUUGUAUCUUCAAAGGUUAUAAGAAAGCUUCUAAGAAUUGAUAAUCCGAGAUACAUAAGCAAUGCACCUGCGCACUCUCUUCAAAAAGUUCUUCAAGCCCCAAGACAGCAAUUGGCAAUGAUUAUAGAGAAGAAAAAAAACCACAUUUCUGCAUGAAAUCGCUGCCCAUUAUUGUUACUAUAUUAGGUAUAAUACUACAUGCCAUAGUUUGUCACAACCCCGGAGUGCAGAGGUAGCGUCAAUGCAUGUGGAACUUCACCAUAAGUAACGAUUUGAGGGAAAACUGGAAUAGCCCAAGAAGAGAAUGGCACAACAGGGAGAAGACUCAUCAAAAGACAGGUUGAAGUGAAAGAAGGAAACGUCUCCGAGCCCAUGCAAUUCUGAGAACGAUCAUCAAAGUAUAGACCAGGCACAAGGAACCCAAACGGAACCUUAAGCUGAUCAGAGCUGCUUCCUUAUUGCUGCCUGCCUAUUUACAAGAAUCUCACCACACUGACUAUAUUCUCUUGGGAACAGCCAGGUAAAGAAUUCGGGGAUUCUAGGAGGUGGGAUGGGCUCUCUGAUUUCCAUCAUUUUCUUCCCUGCAAGGACCCUGAGCUCAGCAGUCUUUUCUCUCCCCACUCGAGCUGGAGAUUCUACCACAGGCUGCAGAAUCAUAGCCCCCCCCUUCCCUCCCCCCGCAAGAUGGGGCUGUGGGAAGAAGAGCAGGAAGCAACACCACUCCGAAGGAGCCCAGCGAUUUCUCCAAGAUGCCAGUUAUUUGGCAUGCUAUGAAACACAGCUCUGCUUCAUAACAAUGGACCCCCAUAAGACAAAUACCCAACAGCAUGGUGCUUCUGGAAUACGAUUAAACCUCACACAAAUACUGUUUUUUUUUCCCUUACCAAAAAAAUGCUGAUCAAAAUUGUUCUCUGGGGAGCGGCCACUGAACAAUGGGUAGAACUUGCCCAAUUCCCAGCCUACCAAACUCAUAGAGUACAUUUUGUCCUCCAAGCUUAUGAAUUAAUCGCAGCGCUGCUGGUUUUUUUUUUUUUUUUUGCACGGCAUGGGUUACGGCUGAACCCUUCGUAGAGGAGAGCCGAGAAAACACAAUGCUCAUUUCCCCCCUUCCCCCCCACCGGGCGACUUCUAUCUUCAGGAUGGUCCCUUCUGUCCACACACCCCCCCUCGUUUUUUUUUAGUUUAAGAAAUCACCUGAGGGCCUUUGGAAACAACGCCCUUUUAUUUUUUGGACAUAUCCGAAGUUGCGUGAGAGUUUGCCAUCGCUCACGCUCCCUUGUAAAUCACCCUUGAACAGUAGUAACCCGAAAAUAAAAUAAAAAUUAAAAACUCAACAAGGCGUCUGGUUUCGAUUUGGAGGCAAAGGCUUUGCCAAAGGCUGUGAUUGAUUCUAAGACCACCCUUCGGUAAGGCAAGACUUCGCUGGCCAGAUUACCUUAAAGCACUUUGUGGGUUCUCCCAAGCUCACCACGUGGGGCAUUGGCAGCUGGAAUCCUCUCUCUCAGUUCCUGCCUGCCAGCCAGACCCUGAGAAGGCAAGGCAAGCCCCUCCCCAACAUUGGGUCAGGCUACAGGAGGCUCUACUACACCCUGCCUGGGUGGUUGCUCUAACUCAGGGGUGUCAAACGAGAUUUCAUUGAAGGUUGCGUUUGAACUUGGUGGGCCAGGGACUAUAGAAAAUGAAAAGAUACAUACAUACAUACAUACAUACAACCUUUAAAGCGCUCCAUGGCUUAGGCCCAGGGUACC